Molecule: ribosomal RNA, 628 nt
Filed under: Stenotrophomonas sp.
Lineage: Bacteria; Pseudomonadati; Pseudomonadota; Gammaproteobacteria; Lysobacterales; Lysobacteraceae
Description: bacterial SSU rRNA
Rfam family: Bacterial small subunit ribosomal RNA
Source: RNAcentral
UGGCUGGCGCAGCUACCAUGCAGUCGAACGGUAGCACGAAAAAGCUUGCUCCCUGGGUGGCGAGUGGCGGACGGGUGAGUUGUGCAUCGGAAUCUGCUCUGUCGGGGGGGAUAACUUGGGGAAACUUACGCUAAUACCGCAUACCACCUAAAGAUGAAAGAGGGGGAUCUUCGGACCUUGCGCGAUCGAAUGAGCCCAUGUGGGAUUAGCUAGUUGGCGGGGUAAAGGCCCACCAAGGCGACUAUCCCUAUCUGGUCUGAGAGGAUGACCACCCACACUGGAACUGAGACACGGUCCACACUCCUACGGGAGGCAGCAGUGGGGAAUAUUGCACAAUGGGCGCAAGCCUGAUCCACCCAUGCCGCGUGUAUGAAAAAGGCCUUCGGUUUGAAAAGCAUUUUCCGCGGAGAAGAAGGCCAUGAUGUUAAUACCUGUUUGGGAUGACGUUACCCAAAGAAUAAGCACCGUCUAACUCCGUGCCAGCAGCCGCGGUAAUACAGAGGGUGCAAGCUUUACUCAGAAUUACUGGGCGUAAAGCACACGUGGUGGUCUGUUAGUCAGAUGUGAUACCCCCGGGCUCACCGAGAACUGCAUUUGAUACUGAGCGACUUUGUCGUGUAAGAGGGUA